Molecule: ribosomal RNA, 636 nt
Filed under: Stereum hirsutum
Lineage: Eukaryota; Fungi; Basidiomycota; Agaricomycetes; Russulales; Stereaceae
Description: eukaryotic LSU rRNA
Rfam family: 5.8S ribosomal RNA (bases 219-372)
Source: RNAcentral
UCCGUAGGUGAACCUGCGGAAGGAUCAUUAAUGAAAUUUAUGACUGGAGUUGUAGCUGGCCUUUAAAAACGGCAUGUGCACGCUCCUUUCACUAAUCCACACACACCUGUGCACCUUCGCGGGGGUCUCUUCGUUAACUCGAAGAGGCUCGCGUCCCUUUACACACCCUUUGUAUGUCUUAAGAAUGUCUACUCGAUGUAAUAAAACGCAUCUAAUACAACUUUCAACAACGGAUCUCUUGGCUCUCGCAUCGAUGAAGAACGCAGCGAAAUGCGAUAAGUAAUGUGAAUUGCAGAAUUCAGUGAAUCAUCGAAUCUUUGAACGCACCUUGCGCCCUUUGGUAUUCCGAAGGGCACACCUGUUUGAGUGUCGUGAAAUUCUCAACCCUCUUCACUUUUGUGAACGUAGUGGAUUGGACUUGGAGGCUUUGCCGGGCUUCACCGCUCGGCUCCUCUCAAAUGCAUUAGUGCGUCUUGUUGCGACGUGCGCCUCGGUGUGAUAAUUAUCUACGCUGUGGUGUGCUUGCUUCUGUGGAGACGCGCUUUCUAACCGUCCGAAAGGACAGCUUUCAUCGAACUUUGACCUCAAAUCAGGUGGGACUACCCGCUGAACUUAAGCAUAUCAAUAAGCGGAGGA